CCUACGGGACGCAGCAGUAGGGAAUCUUCCACAAUGGGCGAAAGCCUGAUGGAGCAACGCCGCGUGGGUGAAGAAGGUCUUCGGAUCGUAAAACCCUGUUGUUAGAGAAGAAAGUGCGUGAGAGUAACUGUUCACGUUUCGACGGUAUCUAACCAGAAAGCCACGGCUAACUCCGUGCCAGCAGCCGCGGUAAUACGUAGGUGGCAAGCGUUAUCCGGAUUUAUUGGGCGUAAAGGGAACGCAGGCGGUUUUUUAAGUUUGAUGUGAAAUCCUUUGGCUUAACCUGGGAAGUGCAUUGAAAACUG
Molecule: ribosomal RNA, 305 nt
Filed under: uncultured bacterium
Lineage: Bacteria
Description: bacterial SSU rRNA
Rfam family: Bacterial small subunit ribosomal RNA
Source: RNAcentral